This 420-nucleotide ribosomal RNA is filed under the name uncultured Actinobacillus sp. RNAcentral describes it as "bacterial SSU rRNA". It matches the Rfam family "Bacterial small subunit ribosomal RNA", at positions 355 to 767 of the family's 1533-position model. The record is from RNAcentral. Lineage: Bacteria; Pseudomonadati; Pseudomonadota; Gammaproteobacteria; Pasteurellales; Pasteurellaceae.
UGGGGAAUAUUGCACAAUGGGGGGAACCCUGAUGCAGCCAUGCCGCGUGAAUGAAGAAGGCCUUCGGGUUGUAAAGUUCUUUCGGUGAUGAGGAAGGUGUUUGUUUUAAUAGAACAAGCAAUUGACGUUAGUCACAGAAGAAGCACCGGCUAACUCCGUGCCAGCAGCCGCGGUAAUACGGAGGGUGCGAGCGUUAAUCGGAAUGACUGGGCGUAAAGGGCACGCAGGCGGUGACUUAAGUGAGAUGUGAAAGCCCCGGGCUUAACCUGGGAAUUGCAUUUCAUACUGGGUCGCUAGAGUAUUUUAGGGAGGGGUAGAAUUCCACGUGUAGCGGUGAAAUGCGUAGAGAUGUGGAGGAAUACCGAAGGCGAAGGCAGCCCCUUGGGAAUAUACUGACGCUCAUGUGCGAAAGCGUGGGGA